This 659-nucleotide ribosomal RNA is filed under the name uncultured bacterium. RNAcentral describes it as "bacterial SSU rRNA". It matches the Rfam family "Bacterial small subunit ribosomal RNA", at positions 60 to 706 of the family's 1533-position model. The record is from RNAcentral.
AGUCGAGGGGCAGCAUUUUUGAAGCUUGCUUCAAAAGAUGGCGACCGGCGCACGGGUGAGUAACGCGUAUGGAACCAACCCGCAACAGGGGGAUAACCCGGAGAAAUCCGGACUAAUACCGCAUGGUACUCUUUGCACAGAAGUGUGAAGAUUUAAAGAUGCGAAUCGGUUGCGGACGGUCAUGCGUUCCAUUAGCUAGUUGGCGGGGUAACGGCCCACCAAGGCGACGAUGGAUAGGGGUUCUGAGAGGAAGGUCCCCCACACUGGUACUGAGACACGGACCAGACUCCUACGGGAGGCAGCAGUGAGGAAUAUUGGUCAAUGGGCGAGAGCCUGAACCAGCCAAGUCGCGUGAGGGAAGACGGCCCUAUGGGUUGUAAACCUCUUUUAGAUGGGAGUAAAGUGUUCUACGCGUAGGAUAUUGCAAGUACCAUCAGAAUAAGCAUCGGCUAAUUCCGUGCCAGCAGCCGCGGUAAUACGGAAGAUGCGAGCGUUAUCCGGAUUUAUUGGGUUUAAAGGGUGCGUAGGCGGGUGAUUAAGUCAGCGGUGAAAUGCGUCAGCUUAACUGGCGAACUGCCAUUGAAACUGGUUACCUUGAGUGUAGCGGAAGUAUGCGGAAUGCGUGGUGUAGCGGUGAAAUGCAUAGAUAUCACGCAGAA